This 1369-nucleotide long non-coding RNA is filed under the name Lathyrus oleraceus (garden pea). Its description in RNAcentral is "Pisum sativum (pea) long non-coding RNA (PSAT_LNC003215)". Lineage: Eukaryota; Viridiplantae; Streptophyta; Magnoliopsida; Fabales; Fabaceae. The record is from RNAcentral.
UUUAAACUUCAAAAAUAAGUUUUAUUUUAUUCUUCUUUUUCUUUCUACAUCAUAAAAAUAAAAUAAUUAAAAAAAAUCUUUAGUUACAAGUUCAUUUUUCAUCUUCUUAUAGUAACUAAAACCAACUUAACAAAAGGGACUUCAAUUACAUCAGAAAAUUCACAACAAAUUUCUACAGUAACUUCAAACAUUAUAAAACAAGAAAUAUUUCAAAACAUAUCAAAGUUUACUACAUGUUUAUUUUUUGCAGUAACCCAAAAUAACACAAAAUGGCUUAUCUUUCCAUCUUCUGCUGCAUCUGCUUAACCCAAAAUAACACAAAAUGGCUUAUCUUUCCAUCUUCUGCUGCAUCUGCUUUUCUAAGCAGAAAAGCCCUUUUGAGGAUAUGUUCGUCACUAUUGUCUCGUGUGUCAAUUGUAAAAAAAAUCUUACAUAACUUGAAUCAAAGUCAAUUGCAGGAAAAGUAAGAGCAGAGUAUCACUAAUUUGAGAAUUUGACAGAACUUAGAUUAGGAUAACAUAGUUUGACUCAAUUCAAAAAUCAUAUUUUAUAAAUCACAAGACCCUAAUCUGAACUGAUGAGCAUCAAUAUAAAAGCAAGCUCUGUUAAGCAUUAUAAAAAAAGAUUUGAAAUUAAUAUAGAACAAAAAACCACUAUCACAACAAGAGCUUCAAAAAUCAUCAUGAACAAAUAACUUAGCCACUCAAAGAAUACACACAGAACAUCAACACAAACCAUAUAAAAAAAAUCAUCAUAAAAAAAAAAGAGAAAGGAAGGUAACAACACUUAGAAGCAGAAGAAGACGUAUCGAAGAACAGAAAAAAGGGAGAAGGGAUUUACCUCAAGGAAUCGUAGCUCCGAUAACUUUCGGAUUGGUAAUAAGUCACUCUUACCUUUCAUUUUGUUAUAAGUUUUCUUUUGAAAUAUGAUUCCAUGUUGCUAGCCAUGUUUGAUUGUGUGAAACUUGAGUCGAUUGAAGGAAUUUCUUUUGAAAUAUGAUUCCAUGUUGCUAGCCAUGUUUGAUUGUGUGAAACUUGAGUCGAUUGAAGGAUUUUGUUAGUUUAGGGUUCGUUUUGGGUGCUCCGAUCUGGUUUGUGUAUCAUUUUUUUUGUGAUUUCAUGGUUAGAUUUGUGAUAAGGGACAAAUUUUGGAGAGGGUUUGUGUAGAUAAUUUUGUGUUUUGAUUUUGUUUUUUUUGCAAAAUUCGUGAGGAAUUUUUGUUUUUGUUUUUUCAUGGAGUUGUGUUUGGAAACGCGAAACAGAGAGAGGAAGAUGAAUACUGCUAUGCGUUCAUUACUCCACUUUAUUUUUUUGUUUUUUUUUUAAAUUUAUUUCCUUUUUUUAAGAAAAAACAAGUGUUUAGUUUUCAU